AUGGAUCAGUAUGAGGUAUUGGAGCAGAUUGGGAAAGGAGCAUUCGGCUCUGCUCUGUUGGUGAGGCACAAGGUGGAGAAGAAGAAGUAUGUGCUGAAGAAGAUCCGGCUUGCCCGACAGACGGACCGCACUCGCCGGUCUGCCCACCAGGAGAUGCAGCUUAUUGCAACUGUGAGAAAUCCGUUCAUCGUGGAGUACAAAGAUUCUUGGGUAGAGAAGGGUUGCUAUGUCUGCAUUGUUAUUGGUUAUUGUCAGGGAGGAGACAUGUCUGAAGCUAUUAAAAGAGCUAAUGGUACAUAUUUCUCUGAGGAGAAGCUUUGCAAGUGGCUUGUGCAGCUCCUUAUGGCUCUUGAUUACUUGCACACAAACCACAUUCUUCACCGUGAUGUCAAGUGCUCCAAUAUUUUCAUUGCCAGGGACCAAACUAUAAGACUCGGUGACUUUGGGCUUGCAAAAAUAUUGACAUCUGAUGAUCUGGCAUCUUCCGUGGUAGGAACGCCAAGUUAUAUGUGCCCAGAACUUCUUGCUGAUAUACCAUAUGGUAGCAAGUCUGAUAUUUGGUCUCUAGGAUGUUGUAUUUACGAAAUGACUGCUCUCAGGCCUGCCUUUAAAGCUUUCGACAUGCAAGCUUUGAUUAACAAGAUCACGAAGUCAAUAGUAUCACCAUUGCCUACCAAAUAUUCUGGUCCAUUUCGGGGACUUAUUAAGAGCAUGCUGCGUAAAAGCCCAGAGCACAGACCAAGCGCUGGAGAACUGCUGAAACAUCCUCAACUUCAGCCUUAUGUGUUUCAAGUCCAAUUGAAGUCUAGUCCUACUCGCAAUAUUCAUCCCAUCAAUGAAUCUCUGACUGACAAAGUUAAGAAGAUGACAGUUCCUGAUGAUGUCCCUGAUUCUGCGCGCAGAAGAAUGGUCAGGAGAAACUCUUUGGGAAGUCAUAGGAUCGUGACAUUUAGCAAGCCAUCACCCGAGCGUAACUCUGUUAGUUCUACUAGGAGCAUCAAGGAAUAUACAACUACUCAGAGUUGCAAAGAGUUAUCCAUUGACAGCAGUCAGGCUGAAGAUGACGAGGUUACCAGUAAAGCCAUGAUAACCAAGACAUCAAGCAUCCUAAGGACUCCCAAGAGUAAUCCAGCCAAGACAUUCACAAGUAGAAACAGGCUUGAAACUCCAAAAACAUCUUAUAACAGAACAAACCGCGCUGAGCCGCCCUCAGUGACACCUGUGAACAAGAGUGCUCGACUGGCUCGAAGAGUAUCCCUCCCGCUGUCGACAUACGAAACGCCCAUCAAGCGCAGCAUCAGCAUUCUUGACCAGCUAGGCUCCCCUGAUGUCUCCAUGAACGCGCCUCGAAUCGACAGGAUCGCAGAGUUUCCACUGGCUUCAUCAGAGGACCCCUUCCACUCCAUCCACAAGCUCUCUUCAGCCCAUGGCUCAUGCUCCACCCCUCCCUUCAUCAACCGGUCGAUCACUAAGGACAAGUGCACGAUCCAGGUGCUCCGUGCGGACGGCGGGGACAACGGGAGCGACUCGUCGGGCCGCAACGCCACGGCCGCGUCGAGCCGGGGCUCCAACGACUCGAGGCUGCAGCGGUUCGACAUGUCGUCGUUCCAGCAGCGUGCGGAGGCGCUGGAGGGCCUGCUGGAGUUCAGCGCGCAGCUGCUGCAGCAGGAGAGGUACGACGAGCUGGGGAUCCUGCUGAAGCCGUUCGGCCCCGAGAAGGCGUCCCCCAGGGAGACAGCCAUCUGGCUCUCAAAGAGCUUCAAGGAGACGACGUAG
RNAcentral lists this ribosomal RNA (1776 nucleotides) under Triticum aestivum (bread wheat). RNAcentral's name for it is "partial small subunit ribosomal RNA". The record is from RNAcentral. Lineage: Eukaryota; Viridiplantae; Streptophyta; Magnoliopsida; Poales; Poaceae.